GAGCGAACGUUAAAUUCCGUGGGG
This 24-nucleotide microRNA is filed under the name Brachypodium distachyon (stiff brome). RNAcentral's name for it is "bdi-miR7774-3p". Lineage: Eukaryota; Viridiplantae; Streptophyta; Magnoliopsida; Poales; Poaceae. The record is from miRBase by way of RNAcentral.